Molecule: ribosomal RNA, 450 nt
Filed under: uncultured bacterium
Lineage: Bacteria
Description: partial 16S ribosomal RNA
Rfam family: Bacterial small subunit ribosomal RNA
Source: RNAcentral
GUGGGGAAUAUUGGACAAUGGGCGAAAGUCUGAUCCAGCCAUGCCGCGUGUGUGAAGAAGGUCUUCGGAUUGUAAAGCACUUUAAGUUGGGAGGAAGGGCAGUAAGUUAAUACCUUGCUGUUUUGACGUUACCGACAGAAUAAGCACCGGCUAACUUCGUGCCAGCAGCCGCGGUAAUACGAAGGGUGCAAGCGUUAAUCGGAAUUACUGGGCGUAAAGCGCGCGUAGGUGGUUUUGUAAGUUGGAGGUGAAAUCCCCGGGCUCAACCUGGGAACUGCCUCCAAAACUGCAUGACUAGAGUACGGUAGAGGGUAGUGGAAUUUCCUGUGUAGCGGUGAAAUGCGUAGAUAUAGGAAGGAACACCAGUGGCGAAGGCGACUACCUGGACUGAUACUGACACUGAGGUGCGAAAGCGUGGGGAGCAAACAGGAUUAGAAACCCCAGUAGUCC